ACGCUCGACACCUACGGGAAGCAGCAGUGGGGAAUAUUGCACAAUGGGGGAAACCCUGAUGCAGCAACGCCGCGUGAAGGAAGACGGUUUUCGGAUUGUAAACUUCUGUUCUUAGUGAAGAUAGUGACGGUAGCUAAGGAGCAAGCCACGGCUAACUACGUGCCCGCAGCCGCGGUAAUCUGAGCGGGCUGGCAAGGC
RNAcentral lists this ribosomal RNA (198 nucleotides) under uncultured bacterium. RNAcentral describes it as "partial 16S ribosomal RNA". It matches the Rfam family "Bacterial small subunit ribosomal RNA", at positions 326 to 539 of the family's 1533-position model. The record is from RNAcentral.